This 27-nucleotide non-coding RNA is filed under the name Drosophila melanogaster (fruit fly). Lineage: Eukaryota; Metazoa; Arthropoda; Insecta; Diptera; Drosophilidae. The record is from RNAcentral.
AAUGCCUGAUCGAUGCUAACAUGAGAG